This 253-nucleotide ribosomal RNA is filed under the name uncultured bacterium. RNAcentral describes it as "partial 16S ribosomal RNA". It matches the Rfam family "Bacterial small subunit ribosomal RNA", at positions 524 to 776 of the family's 1533-position model. The record is from RNAcentral.
UACGUAGGGACCAAGCGUUGUUCGGAUUUACUGGGCGUAAAGGGCGUGCAGGCGGUCUGUUAAGUUCAGGGUGAAAGCUCCCGGCUCAACUGGGAGAGGUCCUUGGAUACUGGCAGACUUGAGGGAGGUAGAGGAGAGUGGAAUUCCCGGUGUAGUGGUGAUAUGCGCAGAUAUCAGGAAGAACACCCGUGGCGAAGGCGGCUCUCUGGAACGCAACUGACGCUGAGACGCGAAAGCGUGGGGAGCAAACAGG